UACAGAGGCCUCGAGCGUUAGGCGGAAUCACUGGGCUUAAAGCGUGUGUAGGUGGAUGCCUAAGUACCUUGUGAAAUCCCACAGCUUAACUGUGGAAUUGCUUGGUAUACUGGGUGUCUUGAGCCACUCAGGGGCUACCGGAACAAGCGGUGGAGCGGUGAAAUGCGCAGAUAUCAGGAGGAACACCGGUGGCGAAGGCGGGUCUCUGGGCAACAACUGACGCUGAGGAGCGAAAGCGUGGGGAGCGAACAGG
RNAcentral lists this ribosomal RNA (253 nucleotides) under uncultured bacterium. Its description in RNAcentral is "partial 16S ribosomal RNA". It matches the Rfam family "Bacterial small subunit ribosomal RNA", at positions 524 to 776 of the family's 1533-position model. The record is from RNAcentral.